RNAcentral lists this ribosomal RNA (563 nucleotides) under Salmonella enterica. Its description in RNAcentral is "partial 23S ribosomal RNA". It matches the Rfam family "Bacterial large subunit ribosomal RNA", at positions 628 to 1191 of the family's 2925-position model. Lineage: Bacteria; Pseudomonadati; Pseudomonadota; Gammaproteobacteria; Enterobacterales; Enterobacteriaceae. RNAcentral also lists the same sequence under 2 other names. The record is from RNAcentral.
CUUAUAUUCUGUAGCAAGGUUAACCGAAUAGGGGAGCCGGAGGGAAACCGAGUCUUAAUUGGGCGUUAAGUUGCAGGGUAUAGACCCGAAACCCGGUGAUCUAGCCAUGGGCAGGUUGAAGGUUGGGUAACACUAACUGGAGGACCGAACCGACUAAUGUUGAAAAAUUAGCGGAUGACCUGUGGCUGGGGGUGAAAGGCCAAUCAAACCGGGAGAUAGCUGGUUCUCCCCGAAAGCUAUUUAGGUAGCGCCUCGUGAAUUCAUCUCCGGGGGUAGAGCACUGUUUCGGCUAGGGGGCCAUCCCGGCUUACCAACCCGAUGCAAACUGCGAAUACCGGAGAAUGUUAUCACGGGAGACACACGGCGGGUGCUAACGUCCGUCGUGAAGAGGGAAACAACCCAGACCGCCAGCUAAGGUCCCAAAGUCAUGGUUAAGUGGGAAACGAUGUGGGAAGGCCCAGACAGCCAGGAUGUUGGCUUAGAAGCAGCCAUCAUUUAAAGAAAGCGUAAUAGCUCACUGGUCGAGUCGGCCUGCGCGGAAGAUGUAACGGGGCUAAACCAUG